UUAAGGAAAAUGUAUAUAUUUUUGCUGCAUUUAGAAAAUUAAUUAAUUAGUCUAUCAGAAAAACGUUUAUGGAUUUUGGAUGGAUCGGUUCAGGCUAUGAGAAAGUGUGCUUGAGUGAAGAAUUUGUGCUAGUUAGCCACAUUGUUCAUGCUUGCUCUUGCUCAUUCAUGUGUAAAGCAGAGGAAUUAGAGUUUUAAGUUUUAACUGAAAAUUUGACACAUGGACGAACGAUAAUACGACACGUGGCUUUGACUACUUUCCGCCAAGCGACAACUCUCGACGUCUACGGCUCCCUCCUAUUCCGCUGGAAAGCCCAAAGCACGAAGUCCAAAUUAGGGUAACGAUUCUUUCUGGCGUCGACAGAUCGCGCCGUCGAGAUUAAGACAAGGAGAUCCCUCGACCGCAGAAGUAACCGCCAAAGAGGGCGAUUGGGCUAAGCAGCGCUGACGACGAGGGGAACGUUCUUUAGAGGACAUGACGGGCUGCGUGCAAAAGUGGAAGACGUCUGCAGGCAUUAAUUGCAAGCCCUCAAACCGCCCCACAAGGGACAAGAAAGUAUUACGGAGAAGCACAGAGCCGUAGUAGGAGACUAAUUGGCUGAGUGAACAGUGCUGAUUAGUGGGCUACGUUUGGGCCUACCAAGGAAGAGCACUUAAGUGCUUUCACCUAUGAAGGAAACCUCCUAAGCGAAAGAAGCCCGGUAUAAAAGGAGGAAGACCCCAAGUAAGGAAGGGGUUCAGAGAUUCCAGCAAAGAGAAAAGAGAUCUAAUGA
Molecule: long non-coding RNA, 772 nt
Organism: Morus notabilis
Lineage: Eukaryota; Viridiplantae; Streptophyta; Magnoliopsida; Rosales; Moraceae
Exons: 3
Source: RefSeq, a predicted model, not a curated record